UAUAGUCUUUGAGGUCAGGUGAGAUAGUCAUAUCAAUUCCUAACCGGCGGUGAUAGUCCGCAAGCCUGUGACGGCACGAUACGGUGCAAUUCCGUAACCGACAGUAAAGUCUGGAUGAGAAAAGACACAA
RNAcentral lists this non-coding RNA (130 nucleotides) under Veillonella montpellierensis. Its description in RNAcentral is "FMN sequence". It matches the Rfam family "FMN riboswitch aptamer (RFN element)". From Rfam's summary of the family: The RFN element is a highly conserved domain that is found frequently in the 5'-untranslated regions of prokaryotic mRNAs that encode for flavin mononucleotide (FMN) biosynthesis and transport proteins. This element is a metabolite-dependent riboswitch that directly binds FMN in the absence of proteins. In Bacillus subtilis, the riboswitch most likely controls gene expression by causing premature transcription termination within the 5' untranslated region of the ribDEAHT operon and precluding access to the ribosome-binding site of ypaA mRNA. The record is from RNAcentral. Lineage: Bacteria; Bacillati; Bacillota; Negativicutes; Veillonellales; Veillonellaceae. RNAcentral also lists the same sequence under 1 other name.